Gallus gallus (chicken) is the source of this 57-nucleotide microRNA precursor. The record is from Ensembl. NCBI's taxonomy places the organism in Eukaryota, Metazoa, Chordata, Aves, Galliformes, Phasianidae.
CAAUGGCUCAGUGCAGUGCCGUUCUGGUGACCAAUGGCACUGCACUGAGUCAUUGGC